Vicia faba (fava bean) is the source of this 201-nucleotide non-coding RNA. NCBI's taxonomy places the organism in Eukaryota, Viridiplantae, Streptophyta, Magnoliopsida, Fabales, Fabaceae. The record is from the annotation of a GenBank genome assembly.
AUGACUAAUAUUUGUUUGCGCACAACAUUGGCACGUGAUGUCUUGAAACUAUGGGACACAGAAAAAAGGAUUUUGAAAAACUUUCUCUCUCUGAAUUGUGGAAGAGUUUGUCUCACCACUGAUAUGUGGACUUCUUGUCAAAAGUUGAGCUAUAUGUGUGUGACGACCCAUUUCAUUGACAAUAAUUGGAACUUACAAUAG